Molecule: ribosomal RNA, 539 nt
Filed under: Limnonectes leporinus (giant river frog)
Lineage: Eukaryota; Metazoa; Chordata; Amphibia; Anura; Dicroglossidae
Description: partial large subunit ribosomal RNA
Rfam family: Bacterial large subunit ribosomal RNA
Source: RNAcentral
GACUAACUAUAAGAGGUCCAGCCUGCCCAGUGAGAUACUUAAACGGCCGCGGUACCCUGACCGUGCAAAGGUAGCAUAAUCAUUUGUUCUUUAAAUAAGGACUCGUAUCAACGGCAUCACGAGGGUUAUACUGUCUCCCCUCUCUAAUCAGUGAAACUGACCUCCCCGUGAAGAGGCGGGGAUAAAAAUACAAGACGAGAAGACCCCAUGGAGCUUUAAACCCAAUAACAACCCCUUUUAAAAAUAACAUAAAAACUCUACGGUAAUGUUUAUUGGUUUUAGGUUGGGGUGACCACGGAGCAAAACACAACCUCCUUGACGAAUUGAUUUCAUCCUAAUCCAAGAGCCACUGCUCUAAGAAUCAAAAAUUUGACGUAAUAUGAUCCGGUAACCGAUCAACGAACCAAGUUACCCUGGGGAUAACAGCGCAAUCCAUUUCAAGAGCCCCUAUCGACAAAUGGGUUUACGACCUCGAUGUUGGAUCAGGGUAUCCCAGUGGUGCAGCCGCUACUAAAGGUUUGUUUGUUCAACAAUUAAAA